CAAAGGAAGAGGAAAGAUAGAUCCCAGGAGUGAAAUGUACAGAAAAAACAAAUGAGAAAGGAAAGAAAACUAGAAAUGUAAAAUGUUCAUAUCCCAAAGUUUUGCACACCAAAACCCUCCAUACAUUUGACUUUGAGCUCAACCCAUUUAAAAAAAAAAAUAUUGCUAUCAACUUGUAGAGCAGCUGUUUUGUGCAAUAUUUACUUAGUGACCUUAAAACUUCUUUUUCUUACCAAGAAAAGCUGGGAAGCAGAUACCCUGAGUGAAGUCUGGCUGAAAGCAUCUCAACAGGGCUCCCUUGGAGGUGAUGGAGAGUGGGAAAGAGUGAAAAAAAUUUUCUUCUUCCUUCUCCUGCCUCAUCCAAAAACAGAAGGGGAAAGGAACCUGCAACUGCCUGCAGCUUUAUGCCAAACAUGGAUAUACUGUGAAACAACAGGGAGAGGAGUACAUGAAGAAUACCAAUGAAGCAUAAAACAAUCCAAAGCAUUUAAAGGACUCUUUUUUUUUUUUUUUUUUUUAAAGAGAAUUUUUGAGUUACCCUGAAUUUCUACGUAACCAUCUUCCUUUGGGCUGGGAUUUUGUUUUUAAUUGCGUUGUCAUUGUUAAAAGAAUUUUGUUUACUGUGAUCUUUAAUACAUUCAAGAUGCCCUUGUCUAAUGCAAAAUAUUAUGUUCCUUAAUAGUUUUUUGUUAUGGUUGCUGUUAGGAGAAAAGAACCUUGAUAGAAUUAGGCAACAGACUGGGCAGAUAAUGUACCAUGUAGGUGACUUAGCACAUACAACAUGUGAUUUAAAUUUUGAACUUAUAGUCUGCUCUAAAAAAGAAACAAUGUACUAAAAUAAUUUCUUUCUGUAAUCAUUUAUUUGUCCAUUUCUUACUCAAAUGGAAGAAAAAUCAGUAAGUAAAUGUGUCAUAUUACUCCUUUCCUGGGAUGGAAAGUCACAUUGAUAAUUGGUUAGUUCAUUUCUAAGGGAUGCUGCGGCAGAUUUUCUGGAUUCUUUUUCCCCCUUGUAUUAUUGCUUCAGCAACUCUUUGCGAAGUUCAAUGAGGUUCAUUAGCUUAACUGAAGAAAAUGGAUCUGGUACUUUCAUGGCAGCUUCUUUCUGUGACUUUUCUAAUUAAAUCUCUUCCAUCAGACAAAAAACUGCCCUUUUUACUUGACAAACAUUUGUUCAAAUUUGGCCUUCGCUGUUUUUUUGGUGCUUGUACUGUCUCUCUCUUUCUCCCCCGCCCCCCAGCAGCAGCAGCUGUUAGUCACAGGACCACACUGUCUAACAUUUACUCUGAAUGUACUUGUGUAUUGAAAUAUUUCACUGUUAGGCAAGCUUAUCAGCUGAAAUAUACAAUAAAAAACUUCCAGUAUAUUGGGUAAACGACUUUCUAAAAAAUUUGCAUUUCUAGUGUGUUAGUGCACAACUGUUACUAUAUGUACUUGUAGAUAUAAAAUUAAAUUCACCUUCCCUGGAACGUUGUUUUGAAAGCUAAGUAAUCAAGCAUUAGUCAGGUGGGAAGUCCCAGUCCACAACCUAGUAAUACACUGUAUAUAAAAGAGACUGAAGUUUUAUAGGGACAGCAUAUUUGCCUACUCCUUUAUCAAUGCCCUCCAAAAAAUUGUCAGGACAUUGUCAACAUUUCAAGAGUUGUGCUUCAGAGUGGAUUAUCCUACGGGGAGAGGGAAGAAGGUUGAAGAAAAGUUUAAUUAAAACACUUUUUCACAAUGCUCAAAAAACCUUGGUAAAAGAUUUCUGUGGACAGGCAGAUCACUGAUUAAUUCUUCAGAUAUGUACUUUUCUCCUAUGUGAAGUAAUGUGAUAUGAGGUUAAGUGCUCAUUGAGGAACUAAGAGUUUGGCCUUUCAGUUUUCACAUUAGACUAUGGGAAGAUAUGCUCAGACUGUGACAAGCAUCGCUGUAUACAGUUUAUGCUGCUAUUCUUUAACACUCUCCAGUGUCAUUAGCUUGCCAGCCAUGUAGUCUGUAAGUAAUAGGUUGCAAUAGCAGCUAAAAUUGACAAGUGCUUAGCCCAGAGCAUGGAUUGAAUGUAAUUCAUAGGGUUCCUGAGUUAAUUUCCAAUACCUGUUUCAUCAAGGCAGACUGAUAGAUGGCUGCCAGCAUCUUCUGGCUUUAUCUGUAAAUCCCUGUGUCUUUUACUGCCAUCAUUCUGGAGUUGCUGUUAUUUUUUUCCCCUUCUCUUUCAUUCCCCUUCUCCAGCCCCCCUUUUCUUUCCAACCUUUUGUUCUCUUUCUUUCUUCUUCUGUCUUUUUUUUCUUUUUAGCAUUCUUUCCCUUACAUUUGCUCUUUCCUAUUUCCAUACCUCUAAAUGGAGCUUACUCUAUAGGCACAUCAUUCAUUUAGAUUAGAGGCCCUUGCAGCUAAAUGCAAGACCUUCAGAUGUUAUUGAAGUGCAUUUUUCCAUGUGGCCCUGUUUAAAGUGAUGUUUCUUUAGGGACUGCAGGGUGAAAUAUGAAGUUAUCUGGGAGAGUAAAUCUGAGAUGUUGGACAGAUGGUGAAGCGUCAGUGCAUCCACAGAAAUGCAUUUCAUUUUUAUAUAGGAGAUGCUUUCAAUCAGUUUCAGCCUGAGAAAACAGUUGCUCUUAUUGCAUCACUGGCAUUUCAUGUGAGGGUUUUUUUUUUCAGUUUGGUUUUUUUGUUUGGUUGGUUUUGGUUUUUAGAUAAAUUUUUAAGUCAAUAAAACCAUAACAAUUUUUUAAUGUAUUUAUGAAUGAUUUGGUUGUGCUUGGGAGAAGAAACACAAUUCAGGAUACCGAAAUCGACAGGAGAAAAGCAAGAAAAUAUUGGAAAAGAAAUAAAUAUUGUCCAAAGAGGUCACAAAAAACUGUUUGGUAAAAAAUACACCCAUUUACUGUGGAUUAUGCAAAUUAAUUUCUCACAUCAGCUAUAUUUCAGAAAUAUGACCUGAUGCAAAUUUUGUUAUUUAAACUGUGCAGAGUAACAGUUAUUCCCAUAGACCUCAUAGGUGCACUGCCAAUUUUAAAAGUGAUUCUGGAGUAUGUCCUCGUGUAACAGAGGAACUAUUUUUUGAACAUUUGAGAAUCUUUUUAAACAAUGGCUACAAAUAGUAUGCAAGGACACCGAUAAAGUCUCGUUCUAUCUAGGCAUAAUCACUUGUGUUGUGUUGGCCAGAUAAGGUUUUUGUGUUCUUUACUAAAGGAAAUCUCUAAUUUGCAGAUAAAUGUUUCUUCAAUUUAAUUUCAUUUUUUAUUAGCUUUUAUUCAAACUAUAGGCAGUUCUCUGCUCCUUAUUUUGUGCAGCUAUAAAAUCACAUGGAAGAAUCUUCUAAACAACUUUUGAAAAGAGUUGACAGUCAAAAGUAUACAAUCUUUGCUUUCCAUUAUGUCUUGGAACUAGCUGGUAUAAAUCUGUGUUGCCAUUAAAGCAUACCCAUUUGUUCAUUUUUAGUUUGCUUGGCUUUUUUUUUUGGUUUGUCUGUUUAUUUGUUUUUUGGUUUUGUGGUUUUGGAGUUUAUUGCUGUUGUGGUGGUUUGGGGUUUUUUUAAAUGAAAAGGAUGGAGGCAUGCCAUCAAAUUUCCCUGUUGUGUUUCCCCAAUGACAGCAUAUAAUACCUUCAGUGUAUGUUAUUGCAAGUCUGAGUGAUCUACUAGAUUUCUCUGCUCUCCUGGAGAAAUCAGUACUUACAGGACCCUUUUGAGAGUCAUGUCAAUAAAGAAAGAGUUGUAGGAAGAACGAAAAAAAAAUCAGCAGAAAUAGUAACGCACAGGGCACAAACAGCCAGAGUGCCAGCCUCUGGGGUGGUCACCAUUGCUGGAUUUGUAGCUGCUAACAACAGUGGGGUAAAUAUGUCAUUAAAAAUAUAUUUACCAAGAAUACAAGCCAUAUCAACACUAGGGAUUUCUUAAAAUAGAAAUAUAUUUUAGGGAACUCUUUAAAUUCUGUAGUUUCUGUAAGUCUGCCUGAUUUUUAGCUAAACCCUUCCUUGUGGAACCUGUUAGGUUUUGUUCAGUGUUUCUAAGAAAUAGCAGCAUGUCUGCAUGUCUGCAUGUCUUAUGAUUAGUUUGCCACUAGCUCUUAACCUCUAUUUUUUUUUUACAAGAAAAAAGUUUUUAUUUCCAUUCAUUUUUUGGGAAUAUGACCUGUUUCAGGACACGAUACAUCAUAGAAAUGGCAUAAACUUAGCUUGCUAACCUAUUUAGAACAUGUUAUUCUAAGCUUAUGAUACCUAACACAAGGUCAAGGAGUUUAGUUUCUUUCCGUCAAGUGAACAGCGAUGAGAAAAACACAGCCUUCCCCAUUGCUUAUCUGGGUUGAACCUUCUCAUUCAUUUUGUACUUACCUUCAG
This is a non-coding RNA of Phalacrocorax carbo (great cormorant), 4314 nucleotides long. Lineage: Eukaryota; Metazoa; Chordata; Aves; Suliformes; Phalacrocoracidae. The record is from RefSeq and is a predicted model, not a curated record.